CCGGGCUUCAAAUCAAGUUUAAUAAAUAAAACAGCAAAGGGGGGUUCAAGGCAGUUAUCACUUCACAGUGUGGUCCUUGGUGGGGUGAGGGAUGGUCGAGUCCAACUCGGAAAGGGGCUCGAGCACAAGAGGCAGGUGGGGGUGUAAAGUGCGGCUUUUCCUGAAGUGGAGACGAUGGGGUGGGAAGGCGAGGCUGGGGUGGGGGCCGGACAGCGAGGUAUAUGGCUCUGUGCCCCACGGGGUUGGCACUGAGUAGCAGCUGCCCACGACCCCCAGGGCUGGGGCAGCCCGCGGCCCUGCCGGGUGUGGAGAGACAGAGCCAAGCAGGGAGCUGAGGGCGCCCCGGCGGAGGCUGCUGGUGCGGGGCAGGGCGUCCUGCCCGUCUCCCCGCCGGGGCAGUGACGCCUUCCCUCGCCUCUGCUGGCUGGAAGGGACUAGGUGGCCGGCUCUGCCCUGCGUCCCAACGGCGGGGUCUCUUCUGUCCCCGGCUGCCCGACGGAUCCCACGUGCAGGCAGCGGCCCGGACCCGGGUGGCAGUGCCG
Homo sapiens (human) is the source of this 542-nucleotide long non-coding RNA. NCBI's taxonomy places the organism in Eukaryota, Metazoa, Chordata, Mammalia, Primates, Hominidae. The record is from Ensembl.